CUCGUAUAGAACCUACCUUUUACUGGAGAAUAGCCCAGAGAAAUUUGGAUUAAUGCUCCAUAGUAUCAUUUUUUGGCAUCAUUAGAUGAUUAAAGAUUUAUCGGUAAAAGAUGGCUAUGCGUUCUAUUAGCUAGUUGGUAUGGUAACGGCAUACCAAGGCGACGAUAGAUAGGGGUCCUGAGAGGGAGAUCCCCCACACUGGUACUGAGACACGGACCAGACUCCUACGGGAGGCAGCAGUGAGGAAUAUUGGACAAUGGAGGCAACUCUGAUCCAGCCAUGCCGCGUGUAGGAAGACUGCCCUAUGGGUUGUAAACUACUUUUAUAGAGGAAGAAACCGCUCUACGUGUAGAGCUCUGACGGUACUCUACGAAUAAGGAUCGGCUAACUCCGUGCCAGCAGCCGCGGUAAUACGGAGGAUCCAAGCGUUAUCCGGAAUCAUUGGGUUUAAAGGGUCCGUAGCGGGUUUGUAAGUCAGUGG
RNAcentral lists this ribosomal RNA (481 nucleotides) under uncultured bacterium. RNAcentral's name for it is "bacterial SSU rRNA". It matches the Rfam family "Bacterial small subunit ribosomal RNA", at positions 114 to 594 of the family's 1533-position model. The record is from RNAcentral.